AGUCGGGUCCUGCGCAACAAAUGACCGCAAACCCCGCCAGGUCCGGAAGGAAGCAACGGUAGCCGUCCUCUUUGUGUGCCGCAGGGGUGCCUGGCUACC
Molecule: signal recognition particle RNA, 99 nt
Filed under: Deltaproteobacteria bacterium
Lineage: Bacteria; Pseudomonadati; Myxococcota; Myxococcia
Description: signal recognition particle sRNA small type
Rfam family: Bacterial small signal recognition particle RNA
About the family: The signal recognition particle (SRP) is a universally conserved ribonucleoprotein involved in the co-translational targeting of proteins to membranes.
Source: RNAcentral